RNAcentral lists this ribosomal RNA (839 nucleotides) under uncultured bacterium. RNAcentral describes it as "bacterial SSU rRNA". It matches the Rfam family "Bacterial small subunit ribosomal RNA", at positions 55 to 902 of the family's 1533-position model. The record is from RNAcentral.
AUGCAGUCGAGCGGAGACAGUGAGUAGCUUGCUAUGAACUGUUUUAGCGGCGGACGGGUGAGUAACGCGUGAGCAACCUUUCCCAGACAGGGGAAUAACACACCGAAAGGUGUACUAAUACCGCAUAAGACCACGGGAUCACAUGGUUCCGGGGUAAAAGAUUUAUCGGUUUGGGGUGGGCUCGCGUCCGAUUAGGUAGUUGGUGAGGUAACGGCCCACCAAGCCGACGAUCGGUAGCCGACCUGAGAGGGUGAUCGGCCACAUUGGGACUGAGACACGGCCCAAACUCCUACGGGAGGCAGCAGUGGGGAAUAUUGGGCAAUGGGGGGAACCCUGACCCAGCAACGCCGCGUGGAGGAAGAAGGUUUUCGGAUCGUAAACUCCUGUCCUUGGAGACGAGUAGAAGACGGUAUCCAAGGAGGAAGCCCCGGCUAACUACGUGCCAGCAGCCGCGGUAAUACGUAGGGGGCAAGCGUUGUCCGGAAUAAUUGGGCGUAAAGGGCGCGUAGGCGGCUCGGUAAGUCUGGAGUGAAAGUCCUGCUUUUAAGGUGGGAAUUGCUUUGGAUACUGUCGGGCUUGAGUGCAGGAGAGGUUAGUGGAAUUCCCAGUGUAGCGGUGAAAUGCGUAGAGAUUGGGAGGAACACCAGUGGCGAAGGCGACUAACUGGACUGUAACUGACGCUGAGGCGCGAAAGUGUGGGGAGCAAACAGGAUUAGAUACCCUGGUAGUCCACACUGUAAACGAUGAAUGCUAGGUGUAGGGGGGUAUCGACCCCUUCUGUGCCGCAGUCAACACAAUAAGCAUUCCGCCUGGGGAGUACGGCCGCAAGGUUGAAACUC